UGGGGAAUUUUGGACAAUGGGCGAAAGCCUGAUCCAGCAAUGCCGCGUGUGUGAAGAAGGCCUUCGGGUUGUAAAGCACUUUUGUCCGGAAAGAAAUCCUUGGCUCUAAUACAGUCGGGGGAUGACGGUACCGGAAGAAUAAGCACCGGCUAACUACGUGCCAGCAGCCGCGGUAAUACGUAGGGUGCAAGCGUUAAUCGGAAUUACUGGGCGUAAAGCGUGCGCAGGCGGUUUGCUAAGACCGAUGUGAAAUCCCCGGGCUCAACCUGGGAACUGCAUUGGUGACUGGCAGGCUAGAGUAUGGCAGAGGGGGGUAGAAUUCCACGUGUAGCAGUGAAAUGCGUAGAGAUGUGGAGGAAUACCGAUGGCGAAGGCAGCCCCCUGGGCCAAUACUGACGCUCAUGCACGAAAGCGUGGGGGGCAAACAGGAUUAGAUACCCUGGUAGUCCAGCGCCCUAAACGAUGUCAACUAGUUGUUGGGGAUUCAUUUCCUUAGUAACGUAGCUAACGCGUGAAGUUGACCGCCUGGGGAGUACGGUCGCAAGAUUAAAACUCAAAGGAAUUGACGGGGUCAUAGCUGUUUCCU
This 586-nucleotide ribosomal RNA is filed under the name uncultured bacterium. Its description in RNAcentral is "partial 16S ribosomal RNA". It matches the Rfam family "Bacterial small subunit ribosomal RNA", at positions 355 to 1375 of the family's 1533-position model. The record is from RNAcentral.